GAUGAACGCUGGCGGCGUGCCUAAUACAUGCAAGUAGAACGCUGAAGGAAGGAGCUUGCUCUUUCGGGAUGAGUGGCGAACGGGUGAGUAACGCGUAGGUAACCUGCCUGUUAGCGGGGGAUAACUAUUGGAAACGAUAGCUAAUACCGCAUAACAGUAGAUGUUGCAUGAUUCCUACUUAAAAGGUGCAAUUGCACCACCACCAGAAGGACCUGCGGUGUAUUAGCUAGUUGGGUAAGUAACGGCUCAACAAGGCGAAGAUACCUAACCGACCUGAGAGGGUGGUCGGCCACACCGGGAAUGAGACAACGCCCAGAACUCUACGGGAGGCAGCAGUAGGGAAUCUUCGGCAAUGGACGGAAGUCUGACCGGGCAACGCCGCGUGAGGGAAGGAGGGUUUCGGAUCGUAAAGCUUCGUUGUAAGGGAAGAACGAAUGUGAGAAUGGAAUAUUCACACUGUGACGGUAUCUUAUCAGAAAGCGACGGCUAACUACGUG
This 497-nucleotide ribosomal RNA is filed under the name uncultured bacterium. Its description in RNAcentral is "partial 16S ribosomal RNA". It matches the Rfam family "Bacterial small subunit ribosomal RNA", at positions 28 to 507 of the family's 1533-position model. The record is from RNAcentral.